Non-coding RNA from Pimephales promelas (fathead minnow), 605 nucleotides. The record is from RefSeq and is a predicted model, not a curated record. NCBI's taxonomy places the organism in Eukaryota, Metazoa, Chordata, Actinopteri, Cypriniformes, Leuciscidae.
AUGCCACACUCAUCAACAUCUGAGUGCAACAGAAUGACAAAGCAGACAGGAUAAUACAUGAAAGCAUUUGGCGCAAGACAACAGCUGGGAUGCCUCAGUGUUGGUAAAUUAUUCGGCCCCCUGCAGACCAGCCACCUGCCAAGACUUCAGAAUGACUCGCACAUGUUGUCUGGGCGCAAAAACUAGCUGACCAUUUCCCCUGACCACCUGUUUCUGCCUGAGUCAUUCAAGCGCUGUCAGUCAAAACUAAAACAUUGCAUGCAAUAACCCCCACCAGCACCAUCCCAUUCACAUAACUGAUUUUGAUCUGGACACACAUGACUCUCUACAAAAGCAAGCUACCGAUUACAAGAGCUGAUUCCCACACACUUACAGAACAUCUGACAUCUGUUCUGAAAACACACACUCGUUUUCACACACUUACCCACGCAGCUGUCUCCCUGGGGCUCAUAACCUGAAGGGCACAGGUUGAAUGACUCGCUGGCCAUGUUCUCAAGGCUGGGAUGGACCUGGUUGGGUGGAUCAGGGGCGGGGAUGACCGAGGCAGAGCGAGGCAGGCACAGGUACCCGCCAUAGUGGUUGAAGCACUUCAUCUCUCCCUUACA